Non-coding RNA from Xyrichtys novacula (pearly razorfish), 353 nucleotides. The record is from the annotation of a GenBank genome assembly. NCBI's taxonomy places the organism in Eukaryota, Metazoa, Chordata, Actinopteri, Labriformes, Labridae.
GCUAGGGUUAGGGUUAGGGUUAGGGUUGGAGCUAGGGUUAGGGUUAGGGUUAGGGUUGGAGCUAGGGUUUAGGGUUAGGGUUGGAGCUAGGGUUAGAGCUAGGGUUAGGGUUAGGGUUGGAGCUAGGGUUAGGGUUAGUUAGGGUUAGGGUUGGAGCUAGGGUUAGGGUUAGGGUUAGGGUUGGAGCUAGGGUUAGGGUUAGGGUUGGAGCUAGGGUUAGGGUUAGGGUUGGAGCUAGGGUUAGGGUUAGGGUUAGGGUUGGAACUAGGGUUAAAGUUAGGGUUAGGGUUGGAGCUAGGUUAAGGGUUAGGGUUAGGGUUGGAGCUAGGGUUGGGGAUAGGGUUGGAGCUAGG